Molecule: long non-coding RNA, 645 nt
Organism: Triplophysa rosa
Lineage: Eukaryota; Metazoa; Chordata; Actinopteri; Cypriniformes; Nemacheilidae
Exons: 4
Source: RefSeq, a predicted model, not a curated record
AAAAGUCUUCCCCCUGUAAAUGCCCUCAGAGUUUCUUUUAUUGGAAGAGGCUGGCAUUGACAAUGGGGCUCUGCGGACAGAAUUUUUAACCGAAAUGAUGUCAGGAAUAGAGAAGCGGUUCUUUGAGGGAGGGGAGGAUGGCAAAAACCCCAAGUAUUCAAUGACAGACUUGGACAAACAUAACUUCAAGACUAUUGGUGAGAUAUUUGCCGUUAGCAUCGCACAGGGUGGUCCCCCACCAAACUUUUUUUGCAGUGGUGUUACAAGUACAUUUCCACUGGAGAAAUGGAUCAGGAAGCAAUAACUGAAAGGGAUGUAACAGACCCUGAACUGAUUGAGCUAAUUAAAGAGAUUCAGGCAGCUGACAACACAACCCUGAUGGAAUGUACAGACAGGAUUUUGUCAUGUGGAUACGAAGGGGCUGUGUCUAUAGAAAGAAAAGAAGAGAUUGUGCGGUAGGACAUUUCUUUUGUUAUAGGCAAUUCACCGUUUUACUCUGUUACAGCUCUGUAGUUCUACACACUACAGUGAGAUUACUUCCCAUGCUACAACAAAUCUGCUCUGCAAUAAAACUGUAUGGGCUUCUCGGCUUGGUCCAAAAAUAUACUGACAUUUGCAGACAGCUGUUUGUUCCAGGAUCAUUUU